AAUCGAAGUCACUGUUGCGUAAGCUGCGGAGGCGAGCAGUUUGUGGCAUCGUGAUCGAGAAGUUCGCCGAGACGGAUUAAUUAGCCAGUUGGCUGUGUUCGACAAGUAUACUCGUCGUGGAGAGGUGAUACACAUUUUGUAUCAUAACGAGUACACUCGUCGCGCGUAAUUAGGCAGUGACCACUGACUGAUUUAAAUUGUAAUUUUAGUGAAAGCAAAAACAUAUUCUCAAAUUUCAAGAUGUUCAGAAUAUUUCGAGGCCGAUCCAAUACGAAGGUGUUUAUAUUGGGGACUGAAAUAUCGUACACAAGAACCUUCCCCCCUCCCCCCCAAAAAAUAUGUAUAUAAGAGGACUUCGUCAACCCAUCGUAGCGUGUAGCGACGCUGUCACACUUGUUACACCUCGGUUGUCCUUUUAUUUGAUUAAAGUUAUUUUCACCGGCACAAACUCGAUCGAUUCGAUUAUAUCAAUUCGUUCGAGAUUAAUCUCUCGUCACGAAGCGAGCGAGUACAGAAAUGGAUUAUAAUUUUUGAAAAAAUCUUUACCGUCGAAAGAACGUUCAGCAUAUUAAAAAGUAAAUUUAAUUAAAAUAAAAAGCAAAUAUCUUUCCCACCGCGGCAAAUCUCGUGUUCGGCAAGGCCUCCUCACCCUUGCCUUAACAAGAAGCCGCUAAAUGUCACGGAGUAACGGCGACAGUUUAUUUCGAGCGCCGCCGAGCCGAAACCACGCCGGCUGUAGCUUUCCGUUCGAACGGUGGCGACACCCGGUAAAAAAGUAAACAAACACCGCGCACCGAAGCGUACGAAAAACCGAGUAGCGAGAACUUUCAUGUGCAUCGGCGACUUUUGAUCAAAAGUUGGUCAAGGUAUAUGUAUAAGAUACGGGUGAAGUUGUCCGAAAACAUGUAUGUAUGUAUGUACCAACAUCGAUUUCAACAGCCUUGAAAUAUGUUAUAAAGGUUUUUCGAUAUUCUGAACGAUUUUUUUCCUUUUCCGUACAGAACCGCUGGGGCUCGAUUCUCGAGGUUAAGUUACAGAAUUAAAAUAAAUAAAUAGACAGAAAUAAA
Megalopta genalis is the source of this 1067-nucleotide long non-coding RNA. RefSeq lists it as uncharacterized. The record is from RefSeq and is a predicted model, not a curated record. Lineage: Eukaryota; Metazoa; Arthropoda; Insecta; Hymenoptera; Halictidae.